RNAcentral lists this transfer RNA (72 nucleotides) under Camelus bactrianus (Bactrian camel). It matches the Rfam family "tRNA". Rfam says of the family: Transfer RNA (tRNA) molecules are approximately 80 nucleotides in length. Lineage: Eukaryota; Metazoa; Chordata; Mammalia; Artiodactyla; Camelidae. RNAcentral also lists the same sequence under 2 other names. The record is from Rfam by way of RNAcentral.
GAGGGUAUCGCUCAGUGGUAGAGCACAUGCUUAGCAUGCACGAGGUCCUGGGUUCAAUCCCUGGUACCUCUA